CUUUAUUGCUCACACAAAGCCUGUUUGGUGGUCUCUUCACAGGGACGCGAGUGAAAGUAUCCUCACAUGGCAGAAAGAGAAAUAAAGAGGGCUCAUGAGUGCCCUGCCCUCACGGCUUCAUCUAAACAUAAUUACCUCCAAGGACUCUGCCUUCAAAUACCAUCACAUUGGAGGUUGCAUGUAGAGAUGAACCCCCAGUGGAUUCCUGUGAUGUCCUUUGCAGCAGUGUCAACAGUGAAGUCCCAGAUGACACGACUGGCAAGGAUCUGAGGUUACUACGGUAUCCGGUGGUUAGUGGUCAUUUUGGAGGUUAUGUACAGACUACUAAUAACUUGCUCUCACUAUUGGAGCUGGAGAAGAACUUAAGAAAAAAAUAAAUGCAAAUUAUACCAUAUACUCUUAAAGAACUUCACAAACAGAUGGUUUAUCUUCCCAACACCCAGAAAAAGUAGGCCACAUGUUGUGUGAAUUACAGCCAUCACCAUCUCCUGUGAGCUUGUUAGAAAUGGAGAACAUUGGGCCCCACCACGGUUACACUGAACUAGGAUUUGCACUCUAACAAGACCACCAGUUUCAGAGGAGAUUGCGAGGAUGAAGCCCACAUGGUGGAAUUAAUGCCCUUGUAAGAAGACGAGGAGACACCAGAGUUUCCUCUCUUUCCUCCAUGUGAUGACACAGUAAGAAGGUGGCCAACUACAAGCCAAGAAACAGGCCCUCAUCAGGAACCUAAUCUGCUGUCACCUUGAGGCUUCGCACCUCCAGAGCUGUGAGAAAUAAAUGUUUGUUG
This 787-nucleotide long non-coding RNA is filed under the name Homo sapiens (human). RNAcentral's name for it is "HSALNT0350462". Lineage: Eukaryota; Metazoa; Chordata; Mammalia; Primates; Hominidae. The record is from RNAcentral.